This 207-nucleotide unclassified non-coding RNA is filed under the name soil metagenome. RNAcentral describes it as "partial contains 5.8S ribosomal RNA, internal transcribed spacer 2, and large subunit ribosomal RNA". The record is from RNAcentral.
AAGACUAUAGACCUGCGGAGUACCUGCGGAAGGAUCAUUACCGAGUCCCCUGCUUGCAGGAACUCCACCCUUGGUUACUGCCGUUGCUUCGGCGAGACGUUGGAAACAGCCAUCGGCAUGCCGAUGCGCGCUCGCCGGAGUCAAACUCCUGAACUAUGUGUGGUCAGAGAAUCAAGCAAUCUUGAAAACUUUUAACAACGGAUCUCU